Hypanus sabinus (Atlantic stingray) is the source of this 3159-nucleotide long non-coding RNA. RefSeq lists it as uncharacterized. The record is from RefSeq and is a predicted model, not a curated record. The transcript has 3 exons. Lineage: Eukaryota; Metazoa; Chordata; Chondrichthyes; Myliobatiformes; Dasyatidae.
GUGCGGUGGAGAAAGAAAGCUGAAUGAUACAAGUUAUAAUUCCACCAAGAUGUCAGAAGACACUUAGUGUUCACGAAGAUCCAGAUUUUCAGCAUCUGCAAUUUUUUUCUUGAUUUUCAUAUAUACAAUUCCCAUUGAGACAGAAAAUUUUUGGAGAACAGAGAACAGGAGAGUGAAGGCUUAUGAGAAACAGACAACCUGUGGCCAAUGAAGCAACAAUUACUGUCAUUCCCAAUUCAUUAAAAUCUGAAAAUGUAUUGAAUUACAGUACAAUAUCAAAAACACAUGAGAUUCUGCAGAUACUGGGUAUCUAGAACAAUACACACAAAACUCUAAAGGAACUCAGCAUCCAUGGAGAAGAAUAAACAAUUGAUGUUUACAGUGAAAACCCUGCCUCAGGACUGGAAGGGAAGGAGGAAGAAGCCCAAAUAAAAAUGUGGAUGAUGAAGCCGUGUUUGGAUAACAGGUACUUUGGAAUGUGAGCCGUCCAGUGAGGGGAGCGUAUUUGUGUUGUAUGCCUUACACCGGUGUGAGCUGGGUCUUUUGUUUGAAGAGAGAGGAUGCUGAAGAGAACCUGUCGUAGGAUUCAUGGGAGACUGUGAUUCGAUGGAGCAAGGUGCGGGGUCUACUGAGGAUCGGUGAAUGUGUUUGACUUUUGGAAGAGUUGAGCUCCAACUUGUGCACAUUUGACUGUUUAGUUAUAAUGGGCCUUUUUUUAAAAUCUUUUUCUUUUCUUUACCAACUCUUAAGUUAAGAUUCAUAAAUAUAAUUCCAUUCAUCAUAUGCAGUGUAUUGUCUGUUAUUUCUUGGCACUGGGUUGUAACAGGGUAGCAGAUUAUAGGCAACCACACAAACCGGGGUUUGAGGUGGGAGAACCAUUUCAUUCUCACAGGCAUUGCGGAACCGCAGAGUGUUUUCCUUAAAUUUAUGCAGCCAAGGAAACCAGGUGGUUUUAUAUAUAGUUUUUUUUUUGAGAGACCUUGACAAGGAUGGUUAGGACCCAAAUGCUAGAGUAUCCAAAGGGAAGCAUCAUAACAUGAUGUAAAGCUGGAACGAGAACUGAGCGAAAACGAAUUGUCAGAUGAUAUCUCCAGUUAGAUUUACAGUUGAGCACCUAGGCCCUGUUUAGGUGCUCUUUAAAUACUCAAUUCUUGAUGACCAAAACAUGAUUACCAAUUAGCGUGAUGGUCCUGAACCCUUACCAGUUAACUAUACUCCGUAGAGUCGGAGCGUUUAAACCCCAGAAGCUGACAUGAUUGGGUGUGUCCAGUAAUACACAUAAAUGCAUACAUACAUAUAUAGUACACAAUAUAUAAGCUUAUUUAACGCACUUUGAUCAUUAAACAUUUUCCUAUGUAGAAUCAUAGCAACGUAAUGAACAGGUUUAUCCUCAGUUUGACUUUGGGUCCUCCUUGACUCAAUGCGACUCCACAGUGAAAUCUCUGAGAGCUCAAAAAUGAAACUAAAUCUAUAAAUUGGGAAAUAUCAUUUUCCACCCCUUAUUCCACACAGCCACUAUUUAACAAGUUGUGAUAAGGUCUCAGCAAAGUUGAUGCAAUCUAGGAGUCAAUAUUACUUUGUUAUAUAACACAGAAAUGAGUCUUUGGUCUGCUGAGUCCGUGCUGUCCGUGAAGCACCUACUUAUUCCGAUCUUACUUCAAUCCCAUUUUAUUCUCUCCAUGUUCCCAUCUACUUCCUUAAGAUUCCAUCACUCAGCUAAAUACUGAGUAUACUAAAUAUGUGGCAAUCCACAUACUUUUGGGGUGUGGAUGGAAAUCACCAAACCCAGAAUUAACCCAUCUGCUGAAAGUCAGCAUACAUAAACUCCACACAGACAGCACCAGAGAUCAGGUUGCUGGCUUUAUACAAAAGGAAUCUAAUAUCUUUGGUAUUGUGUCAAGUUCUCAUGGUUUGAAUUGUAUCAACAGUAUUAAAAUACAUUUUCCCACGUUUUCUCCCAUAAACUUUAAAAGCUAAACAGUUAUGAUUUAUUUGCUUUGGUAACAUAUCAAUUAAUUUUAAAAUUACAUGUUAACAUGCUUAAGCUGAUUAAUUUUCAGUGAAAAGUAAUUCCCCAGACUCAGUGUGCAAAUGUAUUCCAAAAUAAGAGAAUUCAGAAGGGAACCAUUUCUACAGGGGGUAGCAUAACAGCAAAAGACCAUCUGCUGAGACAGGAAACAAGUAAACCUGAACAGCUGAAAGGAGCUGCAGGAGAUAUGAGGAAAACAGUGACUACAUCCCUUAUCAUUUCAUUCAACUGACAGGUUAUUUGUUAUUAAACUUUGUGUGUUUUGAGGAGAGAAUGUGCGGCAGGUUUACAGUAAUUGUGAAUGAGCACUUACCAUUAAUAGCCUUAAAGUGCCACUAAAUCAAUAUGUAGUAUUCCCUUUAGAACUGAUCUUAGAUCAACCAACCUGCUUUAUUUCCAUAAAAGAUGUUGUAAAGUUAUGGGUUUAUAUUAUUGUUCACUGUCUUGCUGAUUCUAGCAAUAUACAGUGUUUGAGUAAAGAGAUACCAUUGAUGGGUAACUAUGUUAGGUAUGUAGGUUUUAGAGGUUGGAGAAGGGGAGUGCUGAGGUUGGGGUGGUGAAUAAUAUGCUAGAGACAUAAUCAUUGAUCAAAAGCUAUCAUAGAUUCUGUUUGUCUUUUUUUAAUCCACAAAAUCCAGUGCCAAAUUUUCACAUGUCAAAUGUGAAAAUAUGAAAUUAAAAAUCAGACAGGGUGGUAAGUAAAAGAUGUGUGACAUAGAAUGAUUAUAAAGUUCCUGAAAAUUAAUGUUGUUCCAAUUUCUGAGUGCAUAGAAAUUUCCAAAUAGCCACCUUUGAAUCAAAACCUUGCAUCUUAUUGUUUAUAAGAAUAUAUAUCACCAGUGAUUUGCUUUCUCACAUUUUUCACAUUUCUAGCGAAACUAUCCUGGAAAUUUGUGGUUGCUAAUUUUGUUUUGUAAAUAGAGCUAUAUUACCUGUGACUUCCCUGUUGAAAACUUAGAUAAAAUAAUUGUUCAGAAUACCAGCUGUCUUGUGCUAAUUUCAUCCCUGAUGGAUCCCAUAAGCACGUGUUAAACAAAUGCCCAUUCUGAACCCCAGACAGAUCUGCACAUAAGAUGAAUAGACUCCAUCUGAAUUUAAUUAUUUUAUGCCAGGCCACUAGAGCACAGAGC